RNAcentral lists this long non-coding RNA (479 nucleotides) under Nicotiana benthamiana. RNAcentral describes it as "long non-coding RNA (NBEN_LNC035827)". Lineage: Eukaryota; Viridiplantae; Streptophyta; Magnoliopsida; Solanales; Solanaceae. The record is from RNAcentral.
UUGACUGAUGUAAUACUCAUAUUGAGGAAUUCAUGUUGGGGUUUUCGAUGCCAUUUUUGAGUUGAGGAGAAAGAUAAUUUGGAGGUGCCACAGAGUUUAGAGUAAUCCAUGGAGGCAGGAACAACAAAUAUGAGUUGCUUAGUGUUUGAGAGAAACUAGUGUUUGUAAUGUACUCGCCUACACGUUUUCAGUUCGAGAGUUUUGGAUAUAUAUUCUUUUACAGUGGUUUAGUUGGUGUCUCUUAACCAAUGUUUAAUAUCUUGAAGUUGAAUCCAGCAAAUUUAUAUAAGCCAAUAUAGUAAUUUACCAAUUUGUGUUUAUUUGUUCUCUGCUGCAUCCUCAGUGGUUCGGGACCUUCUUAACGAGGAGGGGGAUCAGAGCAUAGAGCUAGGGGAGCUGGGGCAUUCAGAGCGUCAUAGAGACCUUGGGUACUGCAGGCGCAUUAGGGUGGAGGAGGUCUUAGGGGCGUUGCGCANNNN